AGGUUUUUCCACUCUUGUUGAGAAGCUGAAAUUCAUCAUGCUCGGACUUGAUAUUCCUAAAGCUGGAGAGGAAGGGAAAAGUCACCCAACAAGAUCCUGCUGACUGGAAAGAGGGGAAGCACCACAGAACAAGCAUCGCUCCUCUCCCUGUGAAAACUCUGCCUUAUCAGCGAUGGCUCCUCAGCACCUUUCAGAUAAGAAGCCCGGGGCCCCCAGGCUGCUCCUGUCCUUCAGCCAGAGCUCCUCCUGCUCCACAGCCCUGCAGCAAUUUAAAGCAUCCAGAAAUGGGCCUUUCAUUUAGAAGAACAUGAAAUUGAAGUAAGAAUAAUGCCUGCUGAUGUAGCUGUCUGCUACCAAAUCACAUCACUCAGCC
Long non-coding RNA from Passer domesticus (house sparrow), 373 nucleotides. RefSeq lists it as uncharacterized. The record is from RefSeq and is a predicted model, not a curated record. NCBI's taxonomy places the organism in Eukaryota, Metazoa, Chordata, Aves, Passeriformes, Passeridae. The transcript has 3 exons.